This is a non-coding RNA of Biomphalaria pfeifferi, 382 nucleotides long. Lineage: Eukaryota; Metazoa; Mollusca; Gastropoda; Planorbidae. The record is from the annotation of a GenBank genome assembly.
AAGCUAAUGCACUGUGCCAGCAAAGUGCUUAUGAAAAUAGAAGGUUAUAUACCUAUCUAUUAUUAGUUUCAAACUUUUAAGCAACGACCUAACUCUCUAAACAAAGUAAUUACCAAUACUUAAUAAACUAACUGUUUAAUUUUUUUAAAUUGAUUCUUGUUUUGUCAAGUACAAGAAAUGAUAGGGAAAAAAUCUCAACUUGAUCUGAGAAAUGAUGUGUACAAAAAUUGUACCAGACAGAAAAACAGAGUGUGUUGAUUUAAGCUUUGUAAAAAUAUUGGUAUGAUUUCAUAGAUACAGGCACUGUUGAUAGAAACAUUUGCAUAUAAACAAGAAAAAUCCAAAGGUUAUUUUAUCAAUAACUAUAAUGUAAAUACAAAAG